RNAcentral lists this ribosomal RNA (465 nucleotides) under Vreelandella stevensii. RNAcentral's name for it is "partial 16S ribosomal RNA". It matches the Rfam family "Bacterial small subunit ribosomal RNA", at positions 338 to 795 of the family's 1533-position model. Lineage: Bacteria; Pseudomonadati; Pseudomonadota; Gammaproteobacteria; Oceanospirillales; Halomonadaceae. The record is from RNAcentral.
CCUACGGGCGGCAGCAGUGGGGAAUAUUGGACAAUGGGGGCAACCCUGAUCCAGCCAUGCCGCGUGUGUGAAGAAGGCCCUCGGGUUGUAAAGCACUUUCAGUGAGGAAGAACGCCUGGUGGUUAAUACCCAUCAGGAAAGACAUCACUCACAGAAGAAGCACCGGCUAACUCCGUGCCAGCAGCCGCGGUAAUACGGAGGGUGCGAGCGUUAAUCGGAAUUACUGGGCGUAAAGCGCGCGUAGGUGGCUUGAUAAGCCGGUUGUGAAAGCCCCGGGCUCAACCUGGGAACGGCAUCCGGAACUGUCAAGCUAGAGUGCAGGAGAGGAAGGUAGAAUUCCCGGUGUAGCGGUGAAAUGCGUAGAGAUCGGGAGGAAUACUAGUGGCGAAGGCGACCUUCUGGACUGACACUGACACUGAGGUGCGAAAGCGUGGGUAGCAAACAGGAUUAGAUACCCUGGUAGUC